This 482-nucleotide ribosomal RNA is filed under the name uncultured bacterium. RNAcentral describes it as "partial 16S ribosomal RNA". It matches the Rfam family "Bacterial small subunit ribosomal RNA", at positions 30 to 507 of the family's 1533-position model. The record is from RNAcentral.
AUUGAACGCUGGCGGCAUGCCUUACACAUGCAAGUCGAACGGUAACGGGCCUUCGGGUGCCGACGAGUGGCGAACGGGUGAGUAAUACAUCGGCACGUGCCCGAUCGUGGGGGAUAACGAGGCGAAAGCUUUGCUAAUACCGCAUACGAUCUACGGAUGAAAGCAGGGGACCGCAAGGCCUUGCGCGGACGGAGCGGCCGAUGGCAGAUUAGGUAGUUGGUGGGAUAAAAGCUUACCAAGCCGACGAUCUGUAGCUGGUCUGAGAGGAUGAUCAGCCACACUGGGACUGAGACACGGCCCAGACUCCUACGGGAGGCAGCAGUGGGGAAUUUUGGACAAUGGGCGCAAGCCUGAUCCAGCCAUGCCGCGUGCAGGAUGAAGGCCUUCGGGUUGUAAACUGCUUUUGUACGGAACGAAAAGCCUUCUUUUAAUACAGGAGGGUCAUGACGGUACCGUAAGAAUAAGCACCGGCUAACUACGUG